RNAcentral lists this ribosomal RNA (247 nucleotides) under uncultured Actinomycetales bacterium. RNAcentral's name for it is "partial 16S ribosomal RNA". It matches the Rfam family "Bacterial small subunit ribosomal RNA", at positions 86 to 334 of the family's 1533-position model. The record is from RNAcentral. Lineage: Bacteria; Bacillati; Actinomycetota; Actinomycetes; Actinomycetales.
GGUGCCCGAGUGGCGAACGGGUGAGUAACACGUGAGUAACCUGCCCUUGACUUUGGGAUAACUUCAGGAAACUGGGGCUAAUACCGGAUAGGAGCUCCUGCUGCAUGGUGGGGGUUGGAAAGUUUCGGCGGUUGGGGAUGGACUCGCGGCUUAUCAGCUUGUUGGUGGGGUAGUGGCUUACCAAGGCUUUGACGGGUAGCCGGCCUGAGAGGGUGACCGGCCACAUUGGGACUGAGAUACGGCCCAG